UCUCACUACUGAUAUUGCAGUGGGAUAGAUGUCACUGAGGCUUUGCGACUUCAGAUGGAAGUUCAGAAACAACUGCAUGAGCAGCUCGAGAUUCAAAGAGAAAUGCAAAUUCGGAUAGAAGAACAGGGAAAGGUGCUGUCGAUGAUGUUUGAGAAGCAAAAUAUAGGCUUUGGCAAACUGGAACAAGAGGAGAAAACAAGCGCGGAAAAGCCUGAAAAUGGUUCAGAGGAGUCAUCAGAUUCCCCGCGGGCAAAGCGUCGGAGAAACGAAGAAUGAAGGGAACCUUUUCUCGGGAUGGUAGAUCAUAAAACUGAGGUUUUUGGUGGAGUUGUAGAGUUUGACUUAUUAGAGUAAGAGACUUUUUUCUGUCUUCUUCAGGCUUUUCUCUCUCUUUUUUUUUCUUUCUUAAACUAAUUUUCUGAUUAUCAGCUCUCUAGGAAGAAACAACAAUAAUAAAAAAGAGCAAUUCCAUCUUUCUGAUGUAA
This is a non-coding RNA of Camelina sativa (false flax), 485 nucleotides long. The record is from RefSeq and is a predicted model, not a curated record. Lineage: Eukaryota; Viridiplantae; Streptophyta; Magnoliopsida; Brassicales; Brassicaceae.